Long non-coding RNA from Myiozetetes cayanensis, 337 nucleotides. RefSeq lists it as uncharacterized. The record is from RefSeq and is a predicted model, not a curated record. The transcript is spliced from 3 exons. NCBI's taxonomy places the organism in Eukaryota, Metazoa, Chordata, Aves, Passeriformes, Tyrannidae.
GUGGCACAGGUUGGGAUGGGGUGCCAGGUGCGGUGGCACAGGUUGGGAUGGGAUCCCAGGUGCAGUGGCACAGGUUGGGAUGGGGUGCCAGGUGCAGUGGCACAGGCUGGGAUGGGAUCCCAGGAGCGGUGGCACAGGUUGGGAUGGGAUCCCAGGAGCGGUGGCACAGGCUGGGAUGGGUUCCCAGGUGCGGUGGCACAGGUUGGGAUGGGUUCCCAGGUGCAGUGGCACAGGUUGGGAUGGGAUCCCAGGUGCGGUGGCACAGGUUGGGAUGGGGUGCCAGGUGCAGUGGCACAGGCUGGGAUGGGUUCCCAGGUGCAGUGGCACAGGCUGGGGA